This is a long non-coding RNA of Trachemys scripta elegans, 2263 nucleotides long. RefSeq lists it as uncharacterized. Lineage: Eukaryota; Metazoa; Chordata; Testudines; Emydidae. The transcript is spliced from 6 exons. The record is from RefSeq and is a predicted model, not a curated record.
GGCCCGGCUCAAGCAUGCGUUACAGAGGCAAGGCCAGGGACCCCAACGCAGCCUGCUGCGCAUGCGCCCACGCCCAUUAUGAGCAGCAAGGCACAGAGCGCGAGUGUCCGCGCGGGCAGGUUUGGGCGGGGCGAGGAGCCCAGCGGUUAGGAGGCGUCCGGCUGAGCCGCCCCGCUGUCUCCCAGCCAGGCCUUGGCAGGGCCCAGGGGCUGCCAAAUGGGAGAGCCCCGCCCCCUCCGGCACUAGCACCCCCUCGCGCGGGGGGCAGCGUUAGACAUGAGCUGAGGGACCAACUGCUCGGCCCUCGCCUCGGCAGCCCUGAGCUCGCGCUCUGGCUGUGCCCAACCUGCCUUUCCUAGCGGCAGGACGGCCUGGCACAAGGGCAGGCGAGUCCCGCCCAAACUCCCUUCCCGCUCCGGGUGACCUGGGGCCUCCCGGUCAACCCCAGCGUGUGGCGCGAUCCGCGAGCACACCGACUGGCCCCUCCGCACAGCUCACCUCGUAGCGAACAGCGGGGGAGCGCAGAACGGUUCUCCAUGGUAUUGUGGUGAAACUUCAUUAUGGUAAAGGAGCCUUGAAGAUCAUCUGUCUUUGCAAAUAAGAAAAAUGCUGGCAAGUGCAGUGGUACAGAUAAGUCUGCAGCACAUCAUGGGGAUCUUUGUGUAAACUGAGGCAAGUAUUCCAUAGAAUAGCAAUAAAAAGAUAUCUAUUCCCUGCACCACCAAAGAGUCUUUGAACAAGCAAGCAGCUACCUUCUUUUUCGAGUGUCAGCCUGCUGGAAAGUCCUAUAAAGUGCAGUGCUGUGCUAUCACUUUAAUGAAUGCUGCAUGUGGAUACAACACGAAGGAAACUGAAGCCUUGUAGAGCAUAUCAUCUCUCCAGGCCCCCAUCUCAGAUUGCAUAGGAGCCACUCUCACCUAUGUCUAGUGAAUAUCUGUGGCCCAAAGCACAUCAUCGUGCCAGAGUGUUUACCAGUCCCCCAUCUAGACUAUGUCUGUCCAGAAGCACUGCAGCAGCCCCAUCAAAAGUAGGACCCUGGCAACCUUCCUCCUCUUCUUCAAGGACAAGGCAACAGAGGACAUCUCCACACUGAGGGAAGGAAGCAGUGGCAAGGUCUUAGGAUAUGAGGCUGCCUUAUCAAGAAAUAUUUGAAUUGCUUCUGAGGCUUCAGACCAAGUGUAUUUUAUGAAAUACAGUACAUUGCCUAUUCUUGUGCUUAUUGUUUUAUCGUAUUCUUUUUUAGCUCUUGUCUCUUCACGUUUGGCCUUUAAAUAUACACUUAAAUUAUCAAUGCAGAUAAUUUUAAAAAUCUAAUGUACUUUUCACUUUUAAGCUCUUUUUUUUUUUUUAUUUAUUUCACAUAGCUUGGACAGUGUCACUAAACUGGUCAGUUUCUUCUUCUGUUUCUUGUGAACUAACACAAUACGGUUGAGUUAGAUUCACACUACUGCAGAGAGAAGUCCACAUUUUUCCAAAAGAUUGUUUUCAUUGACAUUUGAGGGGAUGGGAAAUAAGUGACCACAUUUUUAUUCAUAAUAGGUCAGAUCCUGCUACCACUGAAUUCAGUGGCUAGACCUCUAUUGGAUGCUAGCAUUUAUACAAUUCUUUCUUUAUUUUUAACAGACAUAAACUUUGAGCUUUGAACUAGUUUAAAAGUACCCUUUUGACAUUUUGGCUUCUAACUGUCCAUGUACUACUUAGAUGAGUGGGAUGGAGAUUACUGGGUUAUAUCACCCAGGACAAAAUUCACUGAAAGGGGCCGAAAUAAAGGAAAACUCAGUGGGGUUUUCCUCACAGUGUUUCUUUCAUAACUUUCUAAAAAUCUUGAAGUCUGUUAUUUCCUUACCACUCACCAGCAAGGCCUAGUUCUGCACUCUGAUCUUUCUUGGUUUCAACGGGAGGUUUGCCCAAGAAUAGACUACGUGAUCAGAUCCGCUACGUCUCAAUUCAAAAUUCAUUGUUUCCCCUGACAUUACAAGCACCUGCAGCAGAGAAAGGAGAUCCAGAAAAUACAGGGAAAGAGGGUAAAAAUCUCAGUGAAAAAAUUUAUUUCUUAAAAAUACUGUAACUUUAAAGGAUCGGAGGGGGAGGGGGGAAAAAUCUCCUAAAAUGGAUUAUUUUUAUGAUUGUGUAUUUCUUUCCUUGAAUGCAUCUAGCAUGUUGAUUAAACUUAAUGUUACCUUUAAUAUUAAACUGUUUUUAAAAGGAAUAUCUGUGUUGUAAUUGGCUAAAAUAUUGAAACACCAGAAUCAAAUCCUGAACA